AUUGAACGCUGGCGGCAUGCCUUACACAUGCAAGUCGAACGGUAACAGGUCUUCGGAUGCUGACGAGUGGCGAACGGGUGAGUAAUACAUCGGAACGUGCCCGAUCGUGGGGGAUAACGAGGCGAAAGCUUUUCUAAUACCGCAUACGAUCUACGGAUGACAGCGGGGGAUCUUCGGACCUCGCGCGGCCGGAGCGGCCGAUGGCAGAUUAGGUAGUUGGUGGGAUAAAAGCUUACCAAGCCGACGAUCUGUAGCUGGUCUGAGAGGAUGAUCAGCCACACUGGGACUGAGACACGGCCCAGACUCCUACGGGAGGCAGCAGUGGGGAAUGUUGGACAAUGGGCGAAAGCCUGAUCCAGCCAUGCCGCGUGCAGGAUGAAGGCCUUUGGGUUGUAAACUGCUUUUGUACGGAACGAAAAGCCUCUUUCUAAUAAAGAGGGGUCAUGACGGUACCGUAAGAAUAAGCACCGGCUAACUACGUG
RNAcentral lists this ribosomal RNA (482 nucleotides) under uncultured bacterium. Its description in RNAcentral is "partial 16S ribosomal RNA". It matches the Rfam family "Bacterial small subunit ribosomal RNA", at positions 30 to 507 of the family's 1533-position model. The record is from RNAcentral.